GCUCCUAGCACCGGCUGGGCACUGAGCUCAGUGUGGCACACACGUUCCCUCCCUUCUUCCUACAACACCUGCUAAGUGGGUCUGUCACGAGUCCCAUUCUCCAGGUGAGGAGACGGGUUCGGAGAAGAUUUUGCCAGACCUUCGAGAUGAGACAUCGCGUCAGGUUUGUUCUCUAAUAUCAUGACAUCCCUUGAGGUCAGCAUCACGACCAGCACCUCAAUAUCAGGACACGGAGGAUUUAUUUCCUGGAAUCUGUGAACAAGGAUAGAAAAACGACAUUUUUAUUUUUACUCGCCUCUACCUAAACUCUACCAUCCCUUGAAUUAUACACGUAGGCGACACAUCACAGGAGUGUGAGCAGGUCCUGUGUCUGUGUCACCAUGAGAAGGCGUGGGUGCCCCGUGGCAGAUGACAAGAUGUGUCACUACUGUGGAAGACAGUCGUCACUCCACCCGCCGUGAGCAUUGUGCAGUGUGCUAACAGAGAAGCAUGCAAGUUAUACAAGUACUUUAGUGGUAACUGACUUCAGUGUACUUGGCUGUCUAUACAAAAUAAUGCGUAUUUUGUGCAA
Long non-coding RNA from Suricata suricatta (meerkat), 571 nucleotides. RefSeq lists it as uncharacterized. The record is from RefSeq and is a predicted model, not a curated record. The transcript is spliced from 2 exons. NCBI's taxonomy places the organism in Eukaryota, Metazoa, Chordata, Mammalia, Carnivora, Herpestidae.